Poecile atricapillus (Black-capped chickadee) is the source of this 74-nucleotide small nucleolar RNA. RefSeq annotates it as small nucleolar RNA SNORD5. The transcript has a single exon. The record is from RefSeq and is a predicted model, not a curated record. NCBI's taxonomy places the organism in Eukaryota, Metazoa, Chordata, Aves, Passeriformes, Paridae.
GUUCAUGUGAUGAAUUUGGGUGUUCAGCUGCUGUGGGUGACUCAGAAAUAAAUUAAAUUUCAAUUCUGAUUGGA